Molecule: ribosomal RNA, 460 nt
Filed under: uncultured bacterium
Lineage: Bacteria
Description: partial 16S ribosomal RNA
Rfam family: Bacterial small subunit ribosomal RNA
Source: RNAcentral
CCUACGGGAGGCAGCAGUGAGGAAUAUUGGUCAAUGGGCGCGAGCCUGAACCAGCCAAGUCGCGUGAGGGAGGACGGCCCUACGGGUUGUAAACCUCUUUUGCCGGGGAGCAACUGGGGCCACGUGUGGGCUUACUGAGAGUACCCGGAGAAAAAGCAUCGGCUAACUCCGUGCCAGCAGCCGCGGUAAUACGGAGGAUGCGAGCGUUAUCCGGAUUUAUUGGGUUUAAAGGGUGCGUAGGCGGAUGUUUAAGUCAGGGGUAAAAUUUAGGGGCUCAACCCCUUCCCGCCAUUGAAACUGGUGUUCUUGAGUGGACGAGAAGUAUGCGGAAUGCGUGGUGUAGCGGUGAAAUGCAUAGAUAUCACGCAGAACCCCGAUUGCGAAUGCAGCAUGCCGACUCCCGACUGACGCUGAAGCACGAAAGCGUGGGGAUCGAACAGGAUUAGAUACCCUUGUAGUA